This 460-nucleotide ribosomal RNA is filed under the name uncultured bacterium. Its description in RNAcentral is "partial 16S ribosomal RNA". It matches the Rfam family "Bacterial small subunit ribosomal RNA", at positions 338 to 795 of the family's 1533-position model. The record is from RNAcentral.
CCUACGGGAGGCAGCAGUGAGGAAUAUUGGUCAAUGGACGGAAGUCUGAACCAGCCAUGCCGCGUGCAGGAAGACGGCUCUCUGAGUUGUAACCUGCUUUUGUACGAGGGUAAACCUGAAUACUUGUAUUCAGAUGAAAGUCCUUUACGUAUAAGGCUCGGCUAACUCCGUGCCAGCAGCCGCGGUAAUACGGAGGAUCUAAGCGUUAUCCGGAUUUAUUGGGUUUAAAGGGUGCGUAGGCGGAUUGAUAAGUUAGAGGUGAAAUGUCCGAGCUUAACUCGGGAACUGCCUCUAAUACUGUUGAUCUAGAGAGUAGAUGCGGUAGGCGGAAUGUAUGGUGUAGCGGUGAAAUGCUUAGAGAUCAGACAGAACACCGAUUGCGAAGGCAGCUUACCAAUCUAUAUCUGACGUUGAGGCACGAAAGCGUGGGGAGCAAACAGGAUUAGAUACCCUGGUAGUC